AUUGAACGCUGGCGGCAGGCCUAACACAUGCAAGUCGAACGAGUGGCGGACGGGUGAGUAAUGUCUGGGAAACUGCCCGAUGGAGGGGGAUAACUACUGGAAACGGUAGCUAAUACCGCAUACCAUCGGAUGUGCCCAGAUGGGAUUAGCUAGUAGGGUGGGUAAUGGCUCACCUAGGCGGCGAUCCCGAGCUGGUCUGAGAGGAUGACCAGCCAGACGUGAACUGAGACACGGUCCAUACUCCUACGGGAGGCAGCAGUGGUGAAUAUUGCACAAUGGGCGCAAGCCUGAUGCAGCCAUGCCGCGUGUAUGAAGAAGGCCUUCGGGUUGUAAAGUACUUUCAGCGAGGAGGGGUUACUCGCAGAAGAAGCACCGGCUAACUCCGUGCCAGCAGCCGCGGUAAUAC
Molecule: ribosomal RNA, 406 nt
Filed under: uncultured bacterium
Lineage: Bacteria
Description: partial 16S ribosomal RNA
Rfam family: Bacterial small subunit ribosomal RNA
Source: RNAcentral